Molecule: long non-coding RNA, 1036 nt
Organism: Puntigrus tetrazona (Sumatra barb)
Lineage: Eukaryota; Metazoa; Chordata; Actinopteri; Cypriniformes; Cyprinidae
Exons: 2
Source: RefSeq, a predicted model, not a curated record
GGUGUGACAUUUGCCCUAGAACGUCAAACGUAGUUUUACAAACGCGUUCCUGUCUUCGCCUCCGCUUCAGUCUGUAGGAAGUACGUGUUUGUCUGCGUGUAUGAGCGCUGAUAUGGACACUGUUGUCGUUGUUGUUAUCGCGAGCGCAGAUCAGAAGCAGAGGGAUCAGAAGCGGAGCUGGAGGAGACUGCUGUGGAGACGUUCAGCGCGUGAGGAAGAAGUCGUUGCAGGCCACGGUCAGUGCACCCAUGAGGAUGAUGAACUCGGUGAAGUCCACCUCGCCGUCAUUAUUGGCAUCCAGGUCGUUCAUCACCCGCUCCACUGCGUCUUUAUCUUGAGCGUUCUACACGAAGACAAAAAUGAAAAGAUGGAGAGUUAAAACUGUGUAUCUGUAAUGUAAUACACUGGCACCAUUCGUGAUAUGAAAAACAUCCAUUUAACAUUUCUACUGCACGAAACAUUUCCAAAAAGGUUAUGAAUACCUUUCCAUUCCACCAAAGGUUCUUUAAAAUGUUUUAAAUGUUAUCAAAUGGUUAUUUUAAGAACUGUUUUUUUAUGGUGUUUCAGUGAAAACUAAUUUUAAAAAGUUUUAUGUUGGAAGAGAUCGUUAGAAUAGCCUUCAAACUAAGAAAAAAGUUCUGGCACUGCUGUGAAAGCCCACUUUUGUAACCUUCAUUUUAAAGAAUCUAUGCAUUGAAGCAAAGUCAUGGCAGAUUUUGAAUAGUGUGUAGUUUCGGGAACGCUGGCACUGUUAAUGAAACGGCAUGUAUGUUCAUUUCAGAAGAAAGAGCCACAGGCUGGAUCCACGUAUUUGCGUGAGACGCAAUUACAGGAUCACUGAAUCUGUAAACCCUUAUCAAAUGGCCAUUUUGUAAUCUGUGCUUGCAUUACAGGUUGUGUCAUGUUUGCUUUGGCUAAAAUGUAUAUGUAUUUAAUCUUUUUCUGAGGAAUUUAUGUGGAAUGUUUUAUAAAAAAGUGUGGGAGGGGAUAAGAAAAGAUUGUUUCAUUAUUAAAUUUCAUCGGCUUUACUUUCUUA